UUCCUACGGGGGGCAGCAGUCGAGAAUCAUUCACAAUGGGGGAAACCCUGAUGGUGCGACGCCGCGUGAGCGAUGAAGUAUUUCGGUAUGUAAAGCUCUAUCAGCAGGGAAGAAAAUGACGGUACCUGACUAAGAAGCCCCGGCUAACUACGUGCCAGCAGCCGCGGUAAUACGUAGGGGGCAAGCGUUAUCCGGAUUUACUGGGUGUAAAGGGAGCGUAGACGGCAGUGCAAGUCUGAAGUGAAAGGCAAGGGCUCAACCCUUGGACUGCUUUGGAAACUGUGCUGCUGGAGUGUCGGAGAGGC
RNAcentral lists this ribosomal RNA (305 nucleotides) under uncultured bacterium. RNAcentral's name for it is "bacterial SSU rRNA". It matches the Rfam family "Bacterial small subunit ribosomal RNA", at positions 336 to 658 of the family's 1533-position model. The record is from RNAcentral.